AGCGAACGCUGGCGGCGUGCCUAACACAUGCAAGUCGAACGUGAAAUGGGGCAACCCAAAGUAAAGUGGCGUACGGGUGAGUAACACGUAGGUAAUCUACCAAAGUGUCUGGAAUAACCUGCCGAAAGGCGGGCUAAUACUGGAUAGAGCGACGGGAUCCGUAAUUGGGUCUUUCGGGAAAGGGAGCUCGCAAGAGCCUUCGCACUUUGAUGAGCCUGCGUCUCAUUAGCUAGUUGGUGGGGUAACGGCCUACCAAGGCAUUGAUGAGUAGCUGGUCUGAGAGGAUGAUCAGCCACACUGGAACUGAAACACGGUCCAGACUCCUACGGGAGGCUG
This 336-nucleotide ribosomal RNA is filed under the name uncultured Pseudomonadota bacterium. RNAcentral's name for it is "bacterial SSU rRNA". It matches the Rfam family "Bacterial small subunit ribosomal RNA", at positions 29 to 351 of the family's 1533-position model. Lineage: Bacteria; Pseudomonadati; Pseudomonadota. The record is from RNAcentral.